GGGCACAGCGUGAGGGCCGCCGUUGCUGGAGUUCAGCUUAGGGAAGGAGGACUCUGAGGAGGCCCCGAGCGGCGGAGCGCUUCGGGGGAGGCGCCCGCGCAGACGCGAGGCCCAUAGCCAGGACCACCACCUAGCUGAUUCUUGAUGACAUUGGUCGGGAAAACUCGCCUUUCACGGCCCGGCCAAGGGGCAUUUGGGUGCUUUUGCUGCCCGUGGCUGUGCUCAGCGUUGUGGGAAGCCCCUGGGAGGCCGAAUGUGCAGGAUCACCGAGGGGAAAGUGAGCUUGACAGUUCUACAGUCUGGGGACGACGGUUUAAAAAUUUAUGCCUUGCAUGCGAUGUGCAGUGGGUGAUGGAAGAACGUCUACAUGGCUUUAAAAUUGGAUUUAAAAGGCAAAUAUUUUAAAUGAAGGAAAACCCAAGAAGUUUACUUGAUUCCUUAUCUUCCAGGAUGCGACUUUUGUUUAUUUAUUUAUUUUAUUUUGAUGGAGUCUCGCUGCCGUCGCGCAGGCUGGAGUGCAGUGACGCGAUCUUGACCCGGGAACCUCCACCUCCCGGGUUCAAGCGAUUCUCCUUCCUCAACCACCCGAGUAGCUGGGAUUACAGGCGUGUGCCACCAUGCCCGGCUAAUUUUUGUGUUUUUAGUAGAGACCGGGGAAGGUAUGGGCCCUCUUUUGAGAAAAAUGCAGAGUGACACUGAAUUUUGUAACUACAUCAGGAGGCUCUUGAACCUUCUGCAGCUCACUCGUGGAGUUUGUAGAGAUGCGUAAUAAUCCGAAGUGUUAAGGAAGAAGGUUCUGUUGAGAAAAAGUUGGAGGGCUGAAAGGGAUGCCUUUCGCUAUUUCGACAUGUGUGGCUGUACCCCAGAGUGCCCUGGCUAACACGCAAAACCAUGAAUUAGGCGGCUUGGCGAGGCUCAGUGGAGGCUGGGGCCGAGAGUCAUGUCAAAGUUUGUGGGGUUAACCUGCACCCAGUGACAGUCAUGGCGAAGUUUGUGAGGUUAACUCGCACCCAGUAACGCUGUUCCAAUGCAAGGUGUGUAUUUGGUGUCAUCCACGGGAAGAGGAAACAGCAAAUUUUCUCAUGGCCUUGGCAGUUCCACAUGAUGGACAUUUCAUAUCUGCAGUUUUCUUCGCAUGAGAUGGCUUUUUUGCACAAAAACACUGGAAUCCAGUGAGCAAGAAUGAUAGAAUGCAAGAUGGAUUUCCACAUGAGGAAGUGUCACGAACAAGCGUUUUGCAUCUCUGUCAGCUGGAUUCCCCCAUGUGUACGUAUGUGAGAACAUGCCGUGUUUCCUGUCUGUAAUGGUAGAGGCAGCCCUGAUACUGGAUUUUCACCUGAGGAUGGAUAGAUCUUCAGGGUUCAAGUGGGUUUGCAUCUGGACUUUAGGGUGGCCCUGUAGGCCCUGUGUGAGAAGCCCCCUUCCCAGUGAACUUUCCCUUGUGUGCCCGCGUGGACAGCCAACAGGGGGAGCAGUGCGAGCGUGAAGGCAGACAGUGGCCUGGCCCAGUCUGAUGGAAAAGAACUACAGCCUGUGUGGGUCCCCUCCCGACAAUUAAAAUUGCACCAUAACUCCAAAGAUGAAACGCUCCCAGAAAGAAAAGGCAAAGACCCAUCGGAAACAAAAGAGCAACUUUCACCGCCUGAUACAUACACUUCAUGACAUCCACAUUGAGACAAAAUCUCGCCGUGUGACCUACAACACCUCUCGUUCAACCCCACCUACUUGGGGUCGAAUACAGAUUUUAUCUCAUCAAACAGAAAAAUUCUUAACAGAAAAAGGAAUCCCAAAAAUGACUGGUAAUAUAAUUCUGGCUGCCUUUAUGGUAGUCAGUGCAGCGGUAAGUAUACCACCGGUCGGGGCAACUCAAAAUUAUACUUAUUGGGCAUAUGUUCCUUUUCCCCUUCUAAUUCGGUCUGUCUCCUGGAGGGACUCUCCAGUAGAAGUUUACACUAAUAAUAGUGCAUUCAUGCCGAUCCCUAAUGAUGAUCGGUUUCCAGCUCAACCGGAAGAAGAAGGUAUGCACUUUAAUCUGUCAAUUGGCUAUAAAUAUCCACCAUUAUGUAUUGGGAAGUCGCCUGGUUGUUUAGCUUAUUCUUAACAGAAUUGGAUGUGGACUGUACCGUCCUUUACAAAUGAUUCUUAUCAAGUAUAUAAUGUGUUCAGUACUAACUCUUUUCAACUUCUCACUGUCAAACGUACCCCACAUGAGGCAUGGAGAGUUCCUCUCACUACCAAAACUAAUAAAACAAAAGGACUGCCGGACUGUCCAAAGAAACCUACAAAUGGGCCUUUUAUAGUGACUUCAAUUUUAUGGGAUAAUUGUAAUGCUCCCAAGGCUGUUGUACUCCAAACUCUAGCCAUGGGUAUUGUUAUUGAUUGGGCUCCAAAAGGACAUUAUUGGCAAGAUUGCUCCAGCAAAAAUACCUUAUGCUCGGAGUUUAUUUAUUCCUUAGAUUAUAUAGAGCAUGGGUGGCAGUCUUACACGAUGAGACAACGGGUGUCUCCUUACCCAUUUAAAUGGAUGGACACAGGUAUUGCUCCUCCUAGACCAAAAAUUAUUCAUCCCUUUUUUACCCCAGAACAUCCUGAACUAUGGAAAUUAGCUGCAGCUUUGUCGGGAAUAAAGAUAUGGAACACUACCUAUCAGCUCCUUCGUACUAAAACCAAAACACCCACAUUCAACAUCACCCUUAUUUCUGAAUGGGUGAUACCCAUUAGGAGCUGUGUCAAACCCCCUUACAUGCUGUUGGUUGGAAAUAUAAUUAUGAUGCCUGAUGCACAAACUAUAGAAUGUCAUAACUGUAAGCUGUUCACUUGCAUUGAUGCAACUUUUAAUCCCACUACAAGUAUUCUCUUGGUAAGGGCUAGGGAGGGGGUAUGGAUACCAGUUUCUCUACAUCGUCCAUGGGAGUCUUCCCCCUCUAUUCACAUAGUCAAUGAAGUUCUUAAAGACAUCCUCAAAAGAACAAAGAGAUUUAUUUUUACUCUUAUUGCAGUCCUUGCAGGACUACUUGCGGUUACUGCAACAGCAGCAACUGCUGGAGUUGCCAUCCGCAGUUCUGUUCAAACUGCUCACUAUGUUGAAGCAUGCCAGAAAAAUUCCUCCAGACUUUGGAAUUCUCAGGCGCAAAUUGAUCAAAAAUUAGCUAAUCAGAUUAAUGAUCUCCGCCAAAGUGUAACCUGGCUGGGAGAUAGAGUUAUGAACUUGCAACACCGUAUGCAAUUACAGUGUGAUUGGAAUACUUCUGAUUAUUGCAUAACGCCUUAUGCUUAUAAUCAAGAUCAACAUAGCUGGGAAAAUGUCUCAAGACAUUUAAAAGCCUGGGAUGAUAACUUAACCUUGGAUAUUUCACAACUUAAAGAGCAAAUCUUUGAGGCUUCACAAGCCCAUUUAUCCACAGUUCCUGGCUCACACAUUUUUGAAGGCAUAACUAAACAAUUACCUGAUUUUAAUCCCUUCAAAUGGCUCAAACCCGUCAGAGGAUCAUUGUUGUUACUGGCAUUAUUAAUAUUGGUAUGCUUAUGUUGUCUCCUUUUAGUCUGCAGAUGCCUCUAAGGAGUCCGAAACCAAGUCCGAAGUCAACAACAAGCAAUGAUGGCGAUGGCGAUUCUAGUUAAUAAAAAGGGGGGAGAUGUGGGCGGCAAGCCACCCAGGCACCGAGGCAAGAGACAGAGGACACGAGCUGUUCCAGUAU
Homo sapiens (human) is the source of this 3698-nucleotide long non-coding RNA. Ensembl annotates it as endogenous retrovirus group K13 member 1. Its record names the gene ERVK13-1. Lineage: Eukaryota; Metazoa; Chordata; Mammalia; Primates; Hominidae. The record is from Ensembl.